RNAcentral lists this ribosomal RNA (737 nucleotides) under uncultured bacterium. Its description in RNAcentral is "bacterial SSU rRNA". It matches the Rfam family "Bacterial small subunit ribosomal RNA", at positions 28 to 776 of the family's 1533-position model. The record is from RNAcentral.
AAUGAACGUUGGCGGCGUGGAUUAGGCAUGCAAGUCGAGCGAGAAAUUUACUUCGGUAAAUGGACAGCGGCGAAAGGGACAGUAAUGUGUAGGUACCUACCCUCUGAUCUGGGAUAGCUGCGGGAAACUGCAGGUAAUACCGGAUAAUGUCUUCGGACCAAAGGUGUGAUUCCGUCUGAGGAGGGGCCUGCAUCCUAUUAGCUUGUUGGUGAGGUAAUGGCUCACCAAGGCAACGAUGGGUAGCGGGUGUGAGAGCAUGACCCGCGUCAUUGGGACUGAGACACUGCCCAGACAUCUACGGAUGGCUGCAGUCGAGAAUCUUCGGCAAUGGGCGAAAGCCUGACCGAGCGACGCCGCGUGCGGGAUGAAGGCCCUCGGGUUGUAAACCGCUGUCGUUGGGGAGGAAAUGCAUGAGGGCUAUCCCUCUUGUUUGACCGAUCCAAGGAGGAAGUACGGGCUAAGUUCGUGCCAGCAGCCGCGGUAAGACGAACCGUACGAACGUUAUUCGGAAUUACUGGGCUUAAAGGGUGCGUAGGCUGCACGGAAAGUUGGGUGUGAAAGCCCUCAGCUCAACUGAGGAAUUGCAUCCAAAACUGCCGUGCUUGAGGGAGACAGAGGUAAGCGGAACUCAAGGUGGAGCGGUGAAAUGCGUUGAUAUCUUGAGGAACACCGGUGGCGAAGGCGGCUCACUGGGUCUCUUCUGACGCUGAGGCACGAAAGCUAAGGUAGCAAACGGG